UUUGUAGGCACAUUUCAUGUUGUUCAAAAGCCGCCUUUCUGCGCUUCUGACAUCCAACAAUAUGCGACGAAGGUUUUCCCUGAUUCUUCGAGUGCUUAGUGACGUUGGUAAUAACAUCACGCUGCUGAACCUGCAAGGUUCUACCAUGAAGGCGUUGGAGAAGAAGAAAACGGAGGAGAAGAAGAAAGAGGCGAAGGAGAAGAAGAAGAGCAUACUUAAGACGGAGGGCGGGAUACCCUUCUUCGGUGGUGUAAUGGCGGCGAUAGUCUAAAAGUCUCGACGUCCCCUUACUGGUGAAAUGUUGUCAAUAUGAUAACAUACGGAGUAGGAAACGAUGCCCCAAAAGUAUGAAAAAGAAGUGAUCAAACGUCGAGUAACUCACCGGGGCUUGCCGUUACGUUUUGACGUCGACUCUUGAAGGGGAACUAGGACAACAAGUUGAUUCGGGGCUUGGUUGGAAGAAGCGCGGCGCUGAUUUGUCCAGGUGGUCCCGUAAUCCGCCAAUGGCGUUCGCUGACACUGACGUUUGAUGGACGAAAGCGCGCUAAAACACGGCGGAAAUGUAGUAUGUCCACUACGGAAGAGGAUUAGGGCCAGUGAAGGGGGUGUGACACGAUUCUGACCUUCUUUUCUCAAAAUUCUGACUUUGAAGUGAGAAUUCUCACUUUAAAGUCUAAGUUCGCACUUUACAGGAUUUUGACUUUUUUUUAUUUUUAUUAAAGGGAUUCUGACUUUUUUUCUCACAGACAUCUGACUUUAAAGUGAGAAUUCACACUCUAAAGUCAGAAUUCUGAGCCCUAAUCCUCUUCCACAAUGGUGGAAGAUAUUUUUUACGUAAAAAACUAUGUACUCAAGUGCAAUUACUACACUCCCAUUCAUACUUAGUAGUACUCGUUCAACUCCUGAAAUGCAUAAUGCACAAUUUAGAUGUGUCAUGAAGCCUGUAUUUCAAUAUUAAGGUCCUCAUUUCAGAUCUGUAUUUCAAUAUAUUAUUCAUUCUACAUUUGUUUUGCAGAGCUGCCAACCUAUAGUAUUUCACUUCCUGAACAUUUUGAAGUUUCACGAUUUAAAAAUACUGCCAGGAAUAUUCCAGUUUCACUGCACACUUCAGUAAAGGCUAUGAAUAUAUACUAACCUCACUAAAUCCAAGGCAUUGCAAUUGCACAAAUUAAUAUUGACGGUUCAGAAAAAGAAAUUUAUCACAAAAUUACUUGAUUUUAUUGCUUGACAUUUUUGUGGGCCUACACUUGUUAAACAUGACUAAAAAAUUUCACGUCACAAUAAAACUUGCUUCUAGAGCUGAA
This is a long non-coding RNA of Syngnathus typhle (broad-nosed pipefish), 1304 nucleotides long. RefSeq lists it as uncharacterized. The record is from RefSeq and is a predicted model, not a curated record. Lineage: Eukaryota; Metazoa; Chordata; Actinopteri; Syngnathiformes; Syngnathidae. The transcript is spliced from 2 exons.